RNAcentral lists this ribosomal RNA (200 nucleotides) under uncultured bacterium. RNAcentral's name for it is "partial 16S ribosomal RNA". It matches the Rfam family "Bacterial small subunit ribosomal RNA", at positions 8 to 202 of the family's 1533-position model. The record is from RNAcentral.
AGAGUUUGAUCCUGGCUCAGGAUGAACGCUAGCGGCAGGCCUAAUACAUGCAAGUCGAGGGGCAGCACAGGUAGCAAUACUGGGUGGCGACCGGCAAACGGGUGCGGAACACGUACGCAACCUUCCUUGAAGCGGGGGAUAGCCCGAAGAAAUUCGGAUUAAUACCCCGUAGUAUGGUGAGAAGGCAUCUUCUUAUCAUU